RNAcentral lists this long non-coding RNA (354 nucleotides) under Dromaius novaehollandiae (emu). Its description in RNAcentral is "lncRNA (ENSDNVG00000018384.1)". The record is from RNAcentral. Lineage: Eukaryota; Metazoa; Chordata; Aves; Casuariiformes; Dromaiidae.
AUGUGCUACCAAAGAGGGUUUCAGUUACCACACAAGGUACUAUGUUUUGUAAGCAUAUUGACAGAGUGUAUUGCUGUUGAUGUUCUUGGGCUUGAAACUUGCGUACUGAAGAACCAAGAGAAGGUGAUGCUGGCAGAGACUGAAAUGGAUGAAUUCUCACUAGAUAUGACUUCUGAAAGAGACCACGUUACUCUCAAGGAUGGAAUCUGGGACUCCAGCUACUUCGGUGACAGCCAAUGAACAAGAACUGCAUUGUGGGUGCUAGCAAAAAAGCUACUAGUGAAGGAGCAGCAGCAGAAGAUAGCAUUAGAAAGGAGAAAUAAACAAGAGGUAAAAAAGCUGUUUUAAUUUGAU